GUUUGUGCAUCCAGUCCAGUACAUGUGCCAUGCCGUGUGCCACAACAAGUCACAAACUUCAUGAACAACAUGACAUCACACGUGUCUGCAAACAUCCGUGUCACCACGAGGGUCGGCUAAGAUACCAACUUGUAACGCCCCGUACACACCUGCCGGGAUCGUUACUCCUGGCCGGACAUAUGAAUACUAGUCUUCUCUGCGCACUUUGUCCUCACUCAUGCGCACCCGGGAUCAACUUCCUGGUCGGUCACCUAUCUUACAACUACUCCAAGCCGAGCACGCUUAACCUGGGAGUUCUGCUCGAAUGGGCUCACGGAAAACAAGGAAUUCCUUGUUGAUAUGAGUAGUCUAUCAUCCCUAAGAAGCGACACUAUCA
RNAcentral lists this long non-coding RNA (376 nucleotides) under Hordeum vulgare. RNAcentral's name for it is "long non-coding RNA (HVUL_LNC009918)". Lineage: Eukaryota; Viridiplantae; Streptophyta; Magnoliopsida; Poales; Poaceae. The record is from RNAcentral.